This 2071-nucleotide unclassified non-coding RNA is filed under the name Hevea brasiliensis (rubber tree). The record is from RNAcentral. Lineage: Eukaryota; Viridiplantae; Streptophyta; Magnoliopsida; Malpighiales; Euphorbiaceae.
UAUACUUCUUAUAAAUUAAAAUUAUAUAUAAUUAAAGAAGAAAAGUUAAACAAAAUAAUUAUAUAAUUAAAACCAUGAUAAUUUCACUCGAGCCCGAGUUAAAAUUGAACCAAGAAAUAAAAAUUAAAACUAAGAAAAUGACACGUCCAAGCUCAAAGGAAACGUGAAUUACAAACAAAGGAGCCGUGAAAAGCAAGCGAACUGACCAAAGAAAAGAAAACAGAGGAAUAAAGACAAGGUUUGAUUCUGCAAAUCAUAGUGCUAGGACAGAGCAAAUAGUUUGUAUCAAAGUGAGAACCAGGAGCACAACUGCAGCAACAGUCCCAGUACCUAUCCAAAGAUCACCAAAAUAAACGCUUCUUAAUGCAGCCAUGGUAUGGUUGCAAAAAUUUUCAUAGUAGCCAUUCAGCUGUUCAGAGAUGAAAUAGUAACAGGACUGGACUUCCGCAAUUUGAUUGCACAGUUUGUUAACAAGGUCGGCCACAGCAGCACUGUCGCCCAGCCCAUUAACAAUUAUUUUCUUCCCAACAAGCAAAUCCACAUCUUCAGCUGUGUCAAUAAGAAAAUCCCACAGCCUAAUGUAACUGCAGAUGUAAGUUUCGUAUGGAUAAUGACAUUGUUCAAGGGCCAUAAGAUUUCGAACCACAUAUUCUGUGGUAUCGUCAAUAUCAAAGCAAGGAAGUUGUAACUCAGCUCUCCAAAGACAUGGUAUUCCCCUUACAAAUUUAAUGUUGAGGAAGCAUUCAUUUCGAGCCGGCUUCAGCUUCAAUCCUGCCCGGUGCAGCUUGGUUAUGCUACAAAGACUUUCAAUGCUUUUAGCGUGCAUUAUUGGAGGGUGCUCAAAAGACCAAAAAUAUCUAACCAAAUCAGUGAAAUGUAAUGGUUUUCGGUUCACAGGGUUUGGAAUCUUUUCUAUUUUCCUGGGCUUGUAGUUGGAGAAGUAUGUGCAGGUGAGGUCAAGAAAAGGUGGGUACUCGAUUUCAUAAAUAUUUUUUUUGGCAAAGUCGUAUAUUUUCUCAAGAAAGGCAAAGGGUAGCUGAUUUUCAAGUAAAACCAAGUCUUGCUGUACAUCAGUUCGCAGCCAGGGUUUGCCUAUUAUAAAAUCUUUGGCAUGGUCUUUGGUAUGUUCUUUUUCUUCGUGAUUUCUCAAGAAGAGCUCAAGGAUGAAAACACUAUCUAACAAAAUCAUAUUAACCAAUUCAGUGUUGCAGGUUUGAGAUAUAUCAUCAUAAUAACCUCGGAUGUCUUCUUCACUAAUUAUAUUAAUAAGAUCACUCAAAAAUUCGCUUUCUGUUUUGCUCUCCUGCCUUUUGCAAAAUUCUUUUAAAUAUCUCAGCUUCUGGAUUUCCAUAGCCUUGAGUUCUGUUUUGUGGUGGUGAAUAGGGCCUAUAGAAAUUACCUGAGGAGUGUAGGCUUCUUCAUGGAUUUUGCGAAGUGUAGGAGGCACCCUGUAGAUACAUACAGAAUUGGAAAAGGUAGUCUCUAAAUUUUCUGGAAUGUCAAUUAUCAGUUGAUUGAGUGGUUUUUGAGUUCCCUUGGAAGUGCUUGCUGAGUUAUCCUCCCCCAUCUGUCAAGUUUCCCACCAAUAUUAAGUAUCAAUCGUAUCGUUUUCACCAGGAUAAUGGCCUGUGAAACUCUAAAUGAAGCAUGGGAGAAGUUAAAGGCGAAACUUGAAAAGACAGAAAAAUGGACAUUUGCAAUGCGGGAGGAGUUUGGAAUGAUCGAUAAACAUAAUAUAUAGGAGAUGGUGGAUAGACCUGAAUCCAAAAAAUACAACAAGUGUCAAAUGAAUGUCAAGGAAGCAAGAUGUUGUCCCUCAGUUAACAGCAAAAGCACAGUAAAUGGGCACUACUUUUAUUGCUAACCAAGCGACAAUGCUAAUGAAAGUUCUUAAUGAUUUGUGUCAAGAUCAACAUGGAAGAAUUGUCAUCAAGGUAAGAUAAUCAAUUUGUUAUUGUGAUGGCUUAAAAUCUAGUGCAACAUGGAUGCACAAAGCAUAUGAAUAUCAAAUUUCAUGCUGUAAGAUGAGCUAAAAAGGAAGGAAAAGUGCAGCUGAUUCAUUGAAGUUUAG